RNAcentral lists this ribosomal RNA (1385 nucleotides) under beta proteobacterium PI_GH1.1.B10. RNAcentral's name for it is "SSU rRNA". It matches the Rfam family "Bacterial small subunit ribosomal RNA". The record is from RNAcentral. Lineage: Bacteria; Pseudomonadati; Pseudomonadota; Betaproteobacteria.
AGAGUUUGAUCCUGGCUCAGAUUGAACGCUGGCGGCAUGCCUUACACAUGCAAGUCGAACGGUAACAGGUCUUCGGACGCUGACGAGUGGCGAACGGGUGAGUAAUACAUCGGAACGUGCCCAGUCGUGGGGGAUAACUACUCGAAAGAGUAGCUAAUACCGCAUACGAUCUGAGGAUGAAAGCGGGGGACCUUCGGGCCUCGCGCGAUUGGAGCGGCCGAUGGCAGAUUAGGUAGUUGGUGGGAUAAAAGCUUACCAAGCCGACGAUCUGUAGCUGGUCUGAGAGGACGACCAGCCACACUGGGACUGAGACACGGCCCAGACUCCUACGGGAGGCAGCAGUGGGGAAUUUUGGACAAUGGGCGCAAGCCUGAUCCAGCCAUGCCGUGUGCGAUGAAGGCCUUCGGGUUGUAAAGCACUUUUGGCAGGAAAGAAACGUCCCGGAUUAAUACCCUGGGAAACUGACGGUACCUGCAGAAUAAGCACCGGCUAACUACGUGCCAGCAGCCGCGGUAAUACGUAGGGUGCAAGCGUUAAUCGGAAUUACUGGGCGUAAAGCGUGCGCAGGCGGUUCGGAAAGAAAGAUGUGAAAUCCCAGAGCUUAACUUUGGAACUGCAUUUUUAACUACCGAGCUAGAGUGUGUCAGAGGGAGGUGGAAUUCCGCGUGUAGCAGUGAAAUGCGUAGAUAUGCGGAGGAACACCGAUGGCGAAGGCAGCCUCCUGGGAUAACACUGACGCUCAUGCACGAAAGCGUGGGGAGCAAACAGGAUUAGAUACCCUGGUAGUCCACGCCCUAAACGAUGUCAACUAGCUGUUGGGGCCUUCGGGCCUUGGUAGCGCAGCUAACGCGUGAAGUUGACCGCCUGGGGAGUACGGUCGCAAGAUUAAAACUCAAAGGAAUUGACGGGGACCCGCACAAGCGGUGGAUGAUGUGGAUUAAUUCGAUGCAACGCGAAAAACCUUACCUACCCUUGACAUGUCUGGAAUGCCGAAGAGAUUUGGCAGUGCUCGCAAGAGAACCGGAACACAGGUGCUGCAUGGCUGUCGUCAGCUCGUGCCGUGAGAUGUUGGGUUAAGUCCCGCAACGAGCGCAACCCUUGUCAUUAGUUGCUACGAAAGGGCACUCUAAUGAGACUGCCAGUGACAAACCGGAGGAAGGUGGGGAUGACGUCAAGUCCUCAUGGCCCUUAUGGGUAGGGCUUCACACGUCAUACAAUGGUCGGGACAGAGGGUCGCCAACCCGCGAGGGGGAGCUAAUCCCAGAAACCCGAUCGUAGUCCGGAUCGCAGUCUGCAACUCGACUGCGUGAAGUCGGAAUCGCUAGUAAUCGCGGAUCAGCAUGUCGCGGUGAAUACGUUCCCGGGUCUUGUACACACCGCCCGUC